Molecule: long non-coding RNA, 262 nt
Organism: Amphimedon queenslandica
Lineage: Eukaryota; Metazoa; Porifera; Demospongiae; Haplosclerida; Niphatidae
Exons: 2
Source: RefSeq, a predicted model, not a curated record
CUUGAGGCAAGUCUAUUCCUAUUUGAUAUCUAUUCUAAAAGAGCAAGAGGUGAUGUUGCAAUCCCGCAGAGUGUGUUUGCUACUCUUUUUAAUUUUGGCAGUUUUGCUUUAUUUACAGUUUAAAGUAUUGAUCAAGGGAAGAAGAGAAACUGUCACUCAGGGCAGAAGACAACACAUUAAAACUACUCUUGAAGAUGAUCUGAUAAAUGGAAAGCUACUAAAAUGUUUUGAUUCACUCAAUUUAUCCAAAUUUGUCAACAAA